GUCUCAUUCAGCCUCCACAGUGCAAUUUGAAGGGAAGACUUUGGCCUGAAGACAUUUCACCUGCUACCGGUUUUGGGGUUUAAAGUGAAAUGCAGCCUUUAAGCCACCCCUCCAGCCUGCUAUGAUGCUGCCCAGAAGCUCUCUUUUGUGAAUUAUCUGUCUCUCGCAACCACCCUUUGCAAGAAAGAACAUGAAAGUGAAGAGAGAUGAAGUAACUCAGUGAAGAGCACACAGUGUGAAAAACCUGUCCGU
RNAcentral lists this long non-coding RNA (252 nucleotides) under Callithrix jacchus (white-tufted-ear marmoset). RNAcentral's name for it is "lncRNA (ENSCJAG00000070797.1)". Lineage: Eukaryota; Metazoa; Chordata; Mammalia; Primates; Cebidae. The record is from RNAcentral.